UGGGGAAUAUUGCGCAAUGGGCGAAAGCCUGACGCAGCGACGCCGCGUGCGGGAUGAAGGCCUUCGGGUUGUAAACCGCUUUCAGCAGGGACGAAACAAGACGGUACCUGCAGAAGAAGCGCCGGCUAACUACGUGCCAGCAGCCGCGGUAAUACGUAGGGCGCAAGCGUUGUCCGGAAUUAUUGGGCGUAAAGAGCUCGUAGGCGGCCUGUUGCGUCCGCUGUGAAAUCCCGGGGCUCAACCCCGGGCCUGCAGUGGAUACGGGCUGGCUAGAGGCAGGCAGGGGAGAACGGAAUUCCUGGUGUAGCGGUGAAAUGCGCAGAUAUCAGGAGGAACACCGGUGGCGAAGGCGGUUCUCUGGGCCUGUACUGACGCUGAGGAGCGAAAGCGUGGGGAGCAAACA
RNAcentral lists this ribosomal RNA (403 nucleotides) under uncultured Acidothermus sp. Its description in RNAcentral is "bacterial SSU rRNA". It matches the Rfam family "Bacterial small subunit ribosomal RNA", at positions 355 to 774 of the family's 1533-position model. Lineage: Bacteria; Bacillati; Actinomycetota; Actinomycetes; Acidothermales; Acidothermaceae. The record is from RNAcentral.